GACGAACGCUGGCGGCGUGCUUAACACAUGCAAGUCGAACGGUAAGGCUCCAGCUUGCUGGGGUACACGAGUGGCGAACGGGUGAGUAACACGUGGGUGACCUGCCCUGCACUUCGGGAUAAGCCUGGGAAACUGGGUCUAAUACCGGAUAGGACCAUGGUGUGGAUACUGUGGUGGAAAGUUUUUUCGGUGUGGGAUGGGCCCGCGGCCUAUCAGCUUGUUGGUGGGGUAAUGGCCUACCAAGGCGGCGACGGGUAGCCGGCCUGAGAGGGUGGACGGCCACAUUGGGACUGAGACACGGCCCAGACUCCUACGGGAGGCAGCAGUGGGGAAUAUUGCACAAUGGGCGGAAGCCUGAUGCAGCGACGCCGCGUGGGGGAUGACGGCCUUCGGGUUGUAAACUCCUUUCACCAUCGACGAAGGGUUUCUGACGGUGGAUGGAGAAGAAGCACCGGCUAACUACGUG
RNAcentral lists this ribosomal RNA (466 nucleotides) under uncultured bacterium. RNAcentral's name for it is "partial 16S ribosomal RNA". It matches the Rfam family "Bacterial small subunit ribosomal RNA", at positions 28 to 507 of the family's 1533-position model. The record is from RNAcentral.